CGGAAUCUUUUGACUAUAGUAUACAAAGCAUCCCCGCCGGGGGAUGGAGUUUUGAAAGCUGCCUGUCUGCACGCAUGGGUUCGGGUCUCGCGCAAUGGAAACCUGUGAACCGUGUCAGGAUGGGAACAUAGCAGCACUAAGCGGGAUCUUUCAUGUGCCGCGAGGGUGCCUGGCUCUGUGGCCGGCAGGCAGCUUUCAGCGCUUCAUCCCGGCGGGGAUUUCC
Molecule: unclassified non-coding RNA, 223 nt
Filed under: Sarcina sp. DSM 11001
Lineage: Bacteria; Bacillati; Bacillota; Clostridia; Eubacteriales; Clostridiaceae
Description: Bacterial large signal recognition particle RNA
Rfam family: Bacterial small signal recognition particle RNA (bases 79-178)
Source: Rfam by way of RNAcentral